CAGUAGCCGCGGUAACACGUAGGUGGCAAGCGUUGUCCGGAAUUAUUGGGCGUAAAGGGCUCGCAGGCGGUUUCUUAAGUCUGAUGUGAAAGCCCCCGGCUCAACCGGGGAGGGUCAUUGGAAACUGGGAAACUUGAGUGCAGAAGAGGAGAGUGGAAUUCCACGUGUAGCGGUGAAAUGCGUAGAGAUGUGGAGGAACACCAGUGGCGAAGGCGACUCUCUGGUCUGUAACUGACGCUGAGGAGCGAAAGCGUGGGGAGCGAACAAGAUUAGAUACCCCCGUAGUCCCUGUCUCUUAUAC
This 301-nucleotide ribosomal RNA is filed under the name uncultured bacterium. Its description in RNAcentral is "partial 16S ribosomal RNA". It matches the Rfam family "Bacterial small subunit ribosomal RNA", at positions 509 to 807 of the family's 1533-position model. The record is from RNAcentral.